Mesocricetus auratus (golden hamster) is the source of this 115-nucleotide ribosomal RNA. Lineage: Eukaryota; Metazoa; Chordata; Mammalia; Rodentia; Cricetidae. The record is from Ensembl.
GUCUAUGGCCAUACCACCCUGAAUGUGCCCUAUCUCAUCUGGUCUUGGAAGCUAAGCAAGGUUGGGUCUGGUUAGUAUUUGGAUGGGAGAACUAGGAAAUAGGACGGUAAAAAGU